Molecule: ribosomal RNA, 440 nt
Filed under: uncultured bacterium
Lineage: Bacteria
Description: bacterial SSU rRNA
Rfam family: Bacterial small subunit ribosomal RNA
Source: RNAcentral
CCUACGGGUGGCAGCAGUGGGGAAUAUUGCACAAUGGGCGAAAGCCUGAUGCAGCAACGCCGCGUGAGCGAUGAAGGUCUUCGGGUCGUAAAGCUCUGUCCUAAGGGAAGAAUACUGACGGUACCUUAGGAGGAAGACCCGGCUAACUACGUGCCAGCAGCCGCGGUAAUACGUAGGGGGCUAGCAUUAUCCGGAAUUACUGGGCGUAAAGGGUGCGUGGGCGGCCCUUCAAGUCAGAGGUGAAAGGCUACGGCUCAACCGUAGUAAGCCUUUGAAACUGUAGGGCUUGAGUGCAGGAGAGGAGAGUGUAAUUCCCAGUGUAGCGGUGAAAUGCGUAGAUAUUGGGGGGAACACCAGUUGCGAAGGCGGCUCACUGGACUGUAAGUGACGCUGAGGCACGAAAGCGUGGGUAGAGAACAGGAUUAGAUACCCAUGUAGUC